RNAcentral lists this ribosomal RNA (492 nucleotides) under uncultured bacterium. Its description in RNAcentral is "partial 16S ribosomal RNA". It matches the Rfam family "Bacterial small subunit ribosomal RNA", at positions 29 to 507 of the family's 1533-position model. The record is from RNAcentral.
AGUGAACGCUGGCGGUAGGCCUAACACAUGCAAGUCGAACGGCAGCACAGUAAGAGCUUGCUCUUACGGGUGGCGAGUGGCGGACGGGUGAGGAAUACAUCGGAAUCUACUUUUUCGUGGGGGAUAACGUAGGGAAACCUACGCUAAUACCGCAUACGACCUACGGGUGAAAGCAGGGGAUCUUCGGACCUUGAGCGAUUGAAUGAGCCGAUGUCGGAUUAGCUAGUUGGCGGGGUAAAGGCCCACCAAGGCGACGAUCCGUAGCUGGUCUGAGAGGAUGAUCAGCCACACUGGAACUGAGACACGGUCCAGACUCCUACGGGAGGCAGCAGUGGGGAAUAUUGGACAAUGGGCGCAAGCCUGAUCCAGCCAUACCGCGUGGGUGAAGAAGGCCUUCGGGUUGUAAAGCCCUUUUGUUGGGAAAGAAAAGCAGCAGGUUAAUACCCCGCUGUUCUGACGGUACCCAAAGAAUAAGCACCGGCUAACUUCGUG